Molecule: unclassified non-coding RNA, 231 nt
Filed under: plant metagenome
Description: partial contains small subunit ribosomal RNA, internal transcribed spacer 1, and 5.8S ribosomal RNA
Source: RNAcentral
UCUCCGUUGGUGAACCAGCGGAGGGAUCAUUACGUAGUUGCAAAACUCCCGAACCAUUGUUAACGUUACCUAUCCCGUUGCUUCUGCUGGCUGCCCUGUCCCCGCGCCCGGCGCCACCCUGUCCCCCGUGGCCGAACGCCCGACGUAAACCAAACUCUUGAAUUACAUGGCCUCUCUGAGUCUUCUGUACUGAAUAAGUCAAAACUUUCAACAACGGAUCUCUUGGUUCUG